UUGCUCCCAUUUUAGUUUAGAUUCCUCUAGUCCUAGGGUUCACUGGUCCUAGAGUCCACUGGUCCUGGAGUCCACUAGUCCUAGGGUUCACUGGUUCUAGAGUCCACUGGUCCUAGAGUCCAC
Thalassophryne amazonica is the source of this 123-nucleotide long non-coding RNA. RefSeq lists it as uncharacterized. Lineage: Eukaryota; Metazoa; Chordata; Actinopteri; Batrachoidiformes; Batrachoididae. The transcript is spliced from 3 exons. The record is from RefSeq and is a predicted model, not a curated record.